AGAGAGCGAAAAUACCAUAACAAAUGCAUAAGACAAAGACACAAAUACCCAAUUUUUUGUCCCUUAGUGUGUAACCUGUUUUUCAAGAUCCGCAACUUGAGUUGCGAAACAAACUUUGACAGUUCGUGCCUUCAUCGUGCUUGGUGUUCGAAUUUUGGAUAUUAUUUAGUAAAAAAUCGAUAGGAGUACAUUGAAAAGACGGUGAAAUUAUCUUAAUAUAGACAUCGAAGUAAAUAGAAUGGUGCGUUGUCGUGUUAUUGCAUGUAUAAGCGAUAGUGAGAAGAAAAUUGCCGGUGUGUCUUUUCACGCAUGAUCCAGACCUACGUAAUUAAUGGAUUGAAGUGGUAGAAAAGAUUGGAUUCUCACAAAAUAUUGUAAAAUAUGAACAAGCCAAUGAA
Molecule: long non-coding RNA, 398 nt
Organism: Colias croceus (clouded yellow)
Lineage: Eukaryota; Metazoa; Arthropoda; Insecta; Lepidoptera; Pieridae
Exons: 2
Source: RefSeq, a predicted model, not a curated record